RNAcentral lists this ribosomal RNA (408 nucleotides) under uncultured bacterium. RNAcentral's name for it is "bacterial SSU rRNA". It matches the Rfam family "Bacterial small subunit ribosomal RNA", at positions 29 to 481 of the family's 1533-position model. The record is from RNAcentral.
AGCGAACGCUGGCGGCAGGCUUAACACAUGCAAGUCGAGCGCCUGUAGCAAUACAGGAGCGGCAGACGGGUGAGUAACACGUGGGAACGUGCCUUUUGGUUCGGAAUAACUCAGGGAAACUUGAGCUAAUACCGGAUACGUGCGAGAGCAGAAAGAUUUAUCGCCGAAAGAUCGGCCCGCGUCCGAUUAGCUUGUUGGUGAGGUAAUGGCUCACCAAGGCGACGAUCGGUAGCUGGUCUGAGAGGAUGAUCAGCCACACUGGGACUGAGACACGGCCCAGACUCCUACGGGAGGCAGCAGUGGGGAAUAUUGGACAAUGGGCGAAAGCCUGAUCCAGCCAUGCCGCGUGAGUGAUGAAGGCCUUAGGUUGUAAAGCUCUUUUGUCCGGGAAGAUAAUGACGGUACCGG